GACGAACGCUGGCGGCGUGCUUAACACAUGCAAGUCGAACGGAAAGGCCCUGCUUUUGUGGGGUGCUCGAGUGGCGAACGGGUGAGUAACACGUGAGUAACCUGCCCUUGACUUUGGGAUAACUUCAGGAAACUGGGGCUAAUACCGGAUAGGAGCUCCUGCUGCAUGGUGGGGGUUGGAAAGUUUCGGCGGUUGGGGAUGGACUCGCGGCUUAUCAGCUUGUUGGUGGGGUAGUGGCUUACCAAGGCUUUGACGGGUAGCCGGCCUGAGAGGGUGACCGGCCACAUUGGGACUGAGAUACGGCCCAGACUCCUACGGGAGGCAGCAGUGGGGAAUAUUGCACAAUGGGCGGAAGCGUGAUGCAGCAACGCCGCGUGCGGGAUGACGGCCUUCGGGUUGUAAACCGCUUUCGCCUGUGACGAAGCGUGAGUGACGGUAAUGGGUAAAGAAGCACCGGCUAACUACGU
Molecule: ribosomal RNA, 467 nt
Filed under: uncultured bacterium
Lineage: Bacteria
Description: partial 16S ribosomal RNA
Rfam family: Bacterial small subunit ribosomal RNA
Source: RNAcentral